UACAGAGGGGGCAAGCGUUGUUCGGAAUUACUGGGCGUAAAGGGCGCGUAGGCGGCCUUCUAAGUCGAACGUGAAAUCCCCGGGCUCAACCCGGGAACUGCGUCCGAGACUGGAAGGCUUGAAUCCGGGAGAGGGAUGUGGAAUUCCAGGUGUAGCGGUGAAAUGCGUAGAUAUCUGGAGGAACAUCGGUGGCGAAGGCGGCAUCCUGGACCGACACUGACGCUGAGGCGCGAAAGCGUGGGGAGCAAACAGG
This 253-nucleotide ribosomal RNA is filed under the name uncultured bacterium. Its description in RNAcentral is "partial 16S ribosomal RNA". It matches the Rfam family "Bacterial small subunit ribosomal RNA", at positions 524 to 776 of the family's 1533-position model. The record is from RNAcentral.